GUGGAUUAGAUACCCUAGUAGUCCACGCCGUAAACGAUGAUAACUAGCUGUCCGGGCACUUGGUGCUUGGGUGGCGCAGCUAACGCAUUAAGUUAUCCGCCUGGGGAGUACGGUCGCAAGAUUAAAACUCAAAGGAAUUGACGGGGGCCUGCACAAGCGGUGGAGCAUGUGGUUUAAUUCGAAGCAACGCGCAGAACCUUACCAGCCUUUGACAUCCUAGGACGACUUCUGGAGACAGAUUUCUUCCCUUCGGGGACCUAGUGACAGGUGCUGCAUGGCCGUCGUCAGCU
RNAcentral lists this ribosomal RNA (290 nucleotides) under uncultured bacterium. Its description in RNAcentral is "partial 16S ribosomal RNA". It matches the Rfam family "Bacterial small subunit ribosomal RNA", at positions 773 to 1060 of the family's 1533-position model. The record is from RNAcentral.